RNAcentral lists this ribosomal RNA (330 nucleotides) under Kraken sp. RNAcentral's name for it is "SSU rRNA". The stretch from base 118 to 330 matches the Rfam family "Eukaryotic small subunit ribosomal RNA", at positions 742 to 955 of the family's 1831-position model. The record is from RNAcentral. Lineage: Eukaryota; Cercozoa.
GAUUUCUGGUUUGAUAUGCCUGGCCCGCCACGGUUACGUGUGUGAGUGCCGGUGCGUGUCUGCCAUCCUUCUGGACAUCCCCGUGUCUACCCUUCACUGGGCCGGAUGCGGGGGCAUUCCAGAUCUUUUACUUUGAAAAAAUUAGAGUGUUUAAAGCAGGCUUUUUGCUAUGAAUACAUUAGCAUGGAAUAAUAAUUUAGGACUUUGGCCCUAUUUUGUUGGUUUCUAGGACUGAAGUAAUGAUUGAUAGGGAUAGUUGGGGGUGCUCGAAUUCAGCGGCCAGAGGUGAAAUUCUUGGAUUCGCUGAAGACGAACUCAUGCGAAAGCAUU